RNAcentral lists this transfer RNA (69 nucleotides) under Gekko gecko (tokay). RNAcentral describes it as "tRNA-Gly". Lineage: Eukaryota; Metazoa; Chordata; Lepidosauria; Squamata; Gekkonidae. The record is from RNAcentral.
AUGUUCCUAGUAUAAUAAUACAAGUGAUUUCCACUCACUAAAUCCUAGAACACCACCUAGGGGAACACA